This 505-nucleotide ribosomal RNA is filed under the name uncultured bacterium. RNAcentral describes it as "partial 16S ribosomal RNA". It matches the Rfam family "Bacterial small subunit ribosomal RNA", at positions 28 to 507 of the family's 1533-position model. The record is from RNAcentral.
GACGAACGCUGGCGGCGUGCCUAAUACAUGCAAGUAGAACGCACAGUUUAUACCGUAGCUUGCUACACCAUAGACUGUGAGUUGCGAACGGGUGAGUAACGCGUAGGUAACCUGCCUGGUAGCGGGGGAUAACUAUUGGAAACGAUAGCUAAUACCGCAUAAUAUUAAUUAUUGCAUGAUAAUUAAUUGAAAGGUGCAAUUGCACCACUACCAGAUGGACCUGCGUUGUAUUAGCUAGUAGGUGAGGUAACGGCUCACCUAGGCGACGAUACAUAGCCGACCUGAGAGGGUGAGCGGCCACACUGGGACUGAGACACGGCCCAGACUCCUACGGGAGGCAGCAGUAGGGAAACUUCGGCAAGGGGCGGAAGUCUGACCGAGCAACGCCGCGUGAGUGAAGAAGGUUGUCGGAUCGUAAAGCUCGGUUGUAAGGGAAGAACGGGUGUGAGAGUGGAAAGUUCACACUGUGACGGUAUCUUACCAGAAAGGGACGGCUAACUACGUG